GAGGCUAAAUGAAAGCUAGAACUAUAACAAACUACCCGCGAUCAAACUCAUAUGUAGCAACAUAAUAGACUAAGUUGUCAAGCCCAUAAGUAGGAAAGUGAUACAACUAAGUAAACAUAGAUAAAGCACAUAUUUGAACUUAAAUUUCAAUUUCAUUCAUCAUAGAUCCGAGCUUCACAUGAGACAGAAUAUGAAUAUACCCGGAGAAUGAAAAGAAAAGGAAAAAUGAAGUAUCAACAGUAGUAUCAGGUGUUAGCACCAAGAAGAACCAAGAAAGAAGACUUGAAAUGCUUUAAAAUAAAACAAAUCGACCAAUAAACCCGGCUGAAUCUAACACCAAGCUUUGAUGAAUAAGUCUAAACCACUUUUAUCACCCCAAAAUAAUCAAAUAGUUUCAGGAAUUGAAGAUGAAGCAUGAUUGAUAAAAAAAUCGGUGGAACAGUAGUAGCCCCUUCUUCUCUGUAUUUCUCUCUCUUUAAUUUCGUAAGG
Molecule: long non-coding RNA, 489 nt
Filed under: Nicotiana benthamiana
Lineage: Eukaryota; Viridiplantae; Streptophyta; Magnoliopsida; Solanales; Solanaceae
Description: long non-coding RNA (NBEN_LNC015273)
Source: RNAcentral